Molecule: ribosomal RNA, 1494 nt
Filed under: human gut metagenome
Description: bacterial LSU rRNA
Rfam family: Bacterial large subunit ribosomal RNA
Source: RNAcentral
AGAGCCCAGACCGACAGCUAAGGUCCCAAAGUGUGUGUUAAGUGGAAAAGGAUGUUAGGUUUCUAAGACAACUAGGAUGUUGGCUCAGAAGCAGCCACUCAUUUAAAGAGUGCGUAACAGCUCACUAGUCGAGAGGUCUAGCGCCGAAAAUGUCCGGGGCUAAAACACACCACCGAAGCUACGGAAUUACCUAUGGUAAUUGGUAGAGGAGCAUUCUGUAAGGAUGAAGCACAAUUGAAAGAGAGUGUGGACGAAACAGAAGAGAGAAUGCCGGAAUGAGUAGCGAGAUAUAUGUGAGAAUCAUAUAGGUCGAAUGUCUAAGGUUUCCUGGGUAAAGCUGAUCUGCUCAGGGUAAGUCGGGACCUAAGGUGAGGGCGAGAGCCGUAAUCGAUGGACAACAGGUAGAAAUUCCUGUACUACGUAUAAUCAGAACUGUGGGGACGCAGGAGGAUAGGAAAACCGGAGAAUGGAAAAAUCCGGCUAAGUACAAAGGUGUGAGUGAUAGGCAAAUCCGUCACUAUUAGCUGAAGUACGAAUGGGAGCGAAGAAAAGUAGCGAAGUUUCUGAAUCCACACUGUCAAGAAAAGCCGCUAUUGCGUUAUACGUACCCGUACCGCAAACCGACACAGGUAGACGAGGAGAAAAUCCACAGACCGACGGGAGAAGUGUUGUUAAGGAACUCGGCAAAAUGACCCCGUAACUUAGGGAUAAGGGGAGCCAACGCAAGUUGGUCACAGAAAAGAGGCUCAAGCGACUGUUUAGCAAAAACAUAGGUCUAUGCGAAACCGUAAGGUGAUGUAUAUGGGCUGACACCUGCCCGGUGCUGGAAGGUCAAAAGGAGAGGUUAGCGUAAGCGAAGCUUUGAAUUCAAGCCCCAGUAAACGGCGGCCGUAACUAUAACGGUCCUAAGGUAGCGAAAUUCCUUGUCAGGUAAGUUCUGACCCGCACGAAAGGUGUAACGAUUUGAGCACUGUCUCGACAACACGCCCGGUGAAAUUGAAGAACCAGUGAAGAUACUGGUUACCCGCAACAGGACGGAAAGACCCCAUGGAGCUUUACUGCAGCUUAAUAUUGGGAUUCGGUAUUGUAUGUACAGGAUAGGAGGGAGACUAAGAAGCUAGCACGCCAGUGUUGGUGGAGUCGAUGGUGGGAUACCUCUCUUAUAAUACUGAAUUUCUAACCUACUUCCGUGAUCCGGAAGAGGGACAUUGUUAGGCGGGCAGUUUGACUGGGGCGGUCGCCUCCGAAAGAGUAACGGAGGCGCUCAAAGGUCUUCUCAGAAUGAUUGGAAACCAUUCAAAGAGUGUAAAGGCAAAAGAAGGCUUGACUGCGAGAGUGACAACUCGAGCAGGUACGAAAGUAGGACUUAGUGAUCCGGUGGUAACAAGUGGGAGUGCCAUCGCUUAACGGAUAAAAGCUACCCUGGGGAUAACAGGCUUAUCUCCCCCAAGAGUUCACAUCGACGGGGAGGUUUGGCACCUCGAUGUCGGCUCA